UCCUCAUCAGGCUUUUAGAUUGUGAUUAAUCACUGUCAGAACAUCCCACUGCUCUCUCCAGAAUAGCCAUCUGUUUACCUAAAGCUGUGAAUUGAGGCCCACCAAAGCCCUGGAACUAGUUCCUGCCUUGCCAAGAAAAAUGUAAAAAGUCCCUGACUGAAGCCGACUUCGUCUCUGAAUCGGGUUAAUAAUAUCCCGGCGCUCCGAUGGCUGCUGCCUGCUUCCAGGACUAACAGUAAGAUGGCAUCCGCAGCAGGCUCUCCGCGCACGUAGCGCUUCCUCCUCGGUGGUCCCAGGUCCCGGUGUCCCCAUCGCACCCAGGCCUUGGAGCGAGUCUUGGCCGCACAGUCGACUGAUCUCCGCGUCCGCCCUGGGUUGGGCAGGAUGGCAUCCUUUGGACCUCUCCUUGGCUGGUGGCUUCGGUCAUGAUCCCGUCUUCCACUCUCAGCGCCCUCGCCUCCUCUCUGAUCGGAUCCAGAUGGGGGCUUGCCUCCUCCAAGAAGCCUUCCUUAGCUGCUCCAUGGACUGUGCGCCCCGUCUGAACUCCCCGGCUACCGUUUUAACAUAGCCUAUUAAUUUUGCUCUUAGGAUGUACCGCAAUGAAUUAUUUAUCAUCUUCCCCAAUGUCUUGUCUCUUCAACUAGCCAGCGAGCUCCAUGAGGUUGGGAAUGCCGUCUUAUUUAGCUCCGACUCCCUCCCAGAACAGAGCACACAGUCCUUCCUCACAC
This 728-nucleotide long non-coding RNA is filed under the name Monodelphis domestica (gray short-tailed opossum). RNAcentral's name for it is "lncRNA (ENSMODG00000038144.1)". The record is from RNAcentral. Lineage: Eukaryota; Metazoa; Chordata; Mammalia; Didelphimorphia; Didelphidae.